UACGAAGGGGGCUAGCGUUGCUCGGAAUCACUGGGCGUAAAGGGUGCGUAGGCGGGUCUUUAAGUCAGGGGUGAAAUCCUGGAGCUCAACUCCAGAACUGCCUUUGAUACUGAAGAUCUUGAGUUCGGGAGAGGUGAGUGGAACUGCGAGUGUAGAGGUGAAAUUCGUAGAUAUUCGCAAGAACACCAGUGGCGAAGGCGGCUCACUGGCUCGAUACUGACGCUGAGGAGCGAAAGCCAGGGGAGCAAACGGG
This 253-nucleotide ribosomal RNA is filed under the name uncultured bacterium. RNAcentral describes it as "partial 16S ribosomal RNA". It matches the Rfam family "Bacterial small subunit ribosomal RNA", at positions 524 to 776 of the family's 1533-position model. The record is from RNAcentral.